GACGAACCGUGCGAACGUUGUUCGGAUUCACUGGGCUUAAAGGGCGCGUAGGCGGGUUAUCAAGUCAGGGGGGAAAUCUUUCGGCUUAACCGGAAAAUGGCCUCUGAUACUGGUAGUCUUGAGGGAGGUAGGGGCAGGUGGAACUUCCGGUGGAGCGGUGAAAUGUGUUGAUAUCGGAAGGAACGCCGGUGGCGAAAGCGACCUGCUGGAUCUCUUCUGACGCUGAGGCGCGAAAGCUAGGGGAGCGAACGGG
RNAcentral lists this ribosomal RNA (253 nucleotides) under uncultured bacterium. RNAcentral describes it as "partial 16S ribosomal RNA". It matches the Rfam family "Bacterial small subunit ribosomal RNA", at positions 524 to 776 of the family's 1533-position model. The record is from RNAcentral.